GGGGGUGUAGCUCAGUGGUAGGGUGUGUGCUUGGCAUGCACAAGGUCCUGGGUUCAAUGCCCAGCACCUCCA
Molecule: transfer RNA, 72 nt
Filed under: Vicugna pacos (alpaca)
Lineage: Eukaryota; Metazoa; Chordata; Mammalia; Artiodactyla; Camelidae
Description: tRNA-Ala (GGC) (tRNA-Ala-GGC-2-1)
Rfam family: tRNA
About the family: Transfer RNA (tRNA) molecules are approximately 80 nucleotides in length. Their secondary structure includes four short double-helical elements and three loops (D, anti-codon, and T loops). Further hydrogen bonds mediate the characteristic L-shaped molecular structure. tRNAs have two regions of fundamental functional importance: the anti-codon, which is responsible for specific mRNA codon recognition, and the 3' end, to which the tRNAs corresponding amino acid is attached (by aminoacyl-tRNA synthetases). tRNAs cope with the degeneracy of the genetic code in two manners: having more than one tRNA (with a specific anti-codon) for a particular amino acid; and 'wobble' base-pairing, i.e. permitting non-standard base-pairing at the 3rd anti-codon position.
Source: Rfam by way of RNAcentral